This 1463-nucleotide long non-coding RNA is filed under the name Paramuricea clavata. Lineage: Eukaryota; Metazoa; Cnidaria; Anthozoa; Malacalcyonacea; Plexauridae. The record is from RNAcentral.
GUCCCUUUUCUCUAAAAUAUAAGCAAAACAUGGGAGGAAAAAUGGAGUUGGAAGCGAGGUUUGAUAUUCUAGUAACUGAACCUUGAUUUGUGAAUCGUCUGUCAUGUCUUUUAUCUUCAAAUGAUUCAAUGUCUUUUUUAAAAUGCUAAACAUUGUGUUGUAAAUACCUUAGAAUUUCCUAAUGGAUAGCAUAUCCCAGACCGUAAAGAUUUGAGUUGUUGGAAGGCAGGCUAAACAAGUUAGUGACCCAUUUGUGGUAUUUACAUACAUAGUAUACAUACCAUGCAAGUAUACUUAACUGAAGAUUCAGUCUAUCUACAAUACGCUGUAUAUCCAAAAAUCUUUUUCAGAAAACGAACGAAAUGCAAUCCUUAUUAUUACAUACGACACCACAUCAGACUUUUUGUCACCAUGCAACAACCAUCUCUCAUCUCUCCAUACUCGGUACGGUGUGGGCCCUUUGUGUAGAUAUCCCGGCCCUCCCACUGACGAAUUUUUAAAAAAGGCUUUGUUACAUAAACUAAAACAAGUUUGAUAAUUUUAAAAGCUUACAAAAAGUUUACAAAUAUAUAAAAUAAACUAUAAACAGUAUAGUUAUUUUUGCCAAAACGAUUAACAAUUCGUCAUAAUAAAUGUUAUAAGUAAAUCCUGACUUUCAGGUUCUCCUUGUUUGAAAUCAUUUCAAGCUAUCUUCAUUGCUGAAAAAAAAAAGCCAGAAGACAUUCAAAUUAAUACAAUUUCAGUAUAACAUAUUUUUCGAUUAGGCAGGCUUAGCUAUAUCGAAGGCUGUAUAACUAUGUCUAUGGCGUCCAUUUUAAAACAGCAUCGUCACAAAAUUGUAUAUUAAUUGGCAGGUUUCUCAACCGCCAGAUACAUUUAAAAAGGUUGCUAACUGUAUAAACUACAAAAUAAAGCUAAAACAAAGUAAUUUUAAGAUGUACGCCAGAUUGAUUUUAGGUUUUAAACACUUCCAAUGGAAAAUAUACGGCACGAAGAUAAACAUUGCCUUCUUAAUACUAAACAAUAUACCAGACUUUUGAGCAAAUAAUGAUGAAGCCGUUGAAUCGAAACGUUUACCAUGGCCACAAAAUUUCUUGACCCAUUCAUGUUUGUAUGAAAUGAGAAUGGCCUUUUCACAGGAAUUUCUCUCCCCCNNNNNNNNNNNNNNNNNNNNNNNNNCCCCCCCCCCCAAGAGAUUCACCCGCUUUCAAAAGGGUAUGACACGUUGUACAUACUAAGACCAUCUAUUUGGUUUAUAUUUUGAAAUUCGAUCAAUCCCAUUAUGUUUGUCAAUACAAUGAGAAUGUGUUUCAGUGUUUACAACAUAGCCAUAGGAAAAUAUUUAUUAUAUAGUAGAGAGUGCAAGAUACUGAAAAAUACACAGUAAGAUAUUUUCCAGAGGGUCCUGAAGGGGGGGUCCCAAUCCCAUUUCCCACCUGAAAUUUUGGAAAAAUCCCAGUCCC